UACGUAGGGGGCAAGCGUUGUCCGGAAUCAUUGGGCGUAAAGCGAGCGUAGGCGGCCCGAUAAGUCUGCUGUAAAAGUCAACGGCUCAACCGUUGAAAGCCGGUGGAUACUGUCGGGCUAGAGUUCGGAAGAGGCAAGUGGAAUUCCUGGUGUAGCGGUGAAAUGCGCAGAUAUCAGGAAGAACACCCGUGGCUAAGGCGGCUCUCUAGUACGGUACUGACGCUGAGACGCGAAAGCGUGGGGAGCGAACAGG
Molecule: ribosomal RNA, 253 nt
Filed under: uncultured bacterium
Lineage: Bacteria
Description: partial 16S ribosomal RNA
Rfam family: Bacterial small subunit ribosomal RNA
Source: RNAcentral